GCCGGGCAUGGUGUGACGUGCCUAUAGUUCCAGCUACUUAGGAGGCUGAGGUGGGAGGAUCGCUUGAGCCCAGGAGUUCUGGGCUGUAGUGUGCUGUGCCAAUAGGGUGUCUGCACUAAGUUCGGCAUCAGUAUGGUGAUCUCCCGGGAGUGGGGGCCACCAGGUUGCCUAAGGAGGGGUGAACCGGCCCAGGUCAGAAAUAGAACAGGCUAAAACUCCCAUGCUGAUCAGCAGUGGGAUUGCGCCUGUCAAUAGCCACUGCACUCCAGCCUGGGCAACAUAGCGAGACCCUGUCUCAA
Molecule: unclassified non-coding RNA, 299 nt
Organism: Callithrix jacchus (white-tufted-ear marmoset)
Lineage: Eukaryota; Metazoa; Chordata; Mammalia; Primates; Cebidae
Rfam family: Metazoan signal recognition particle RNA
About the family: The signal recognition particle (SRP) is a universally conserved ribonucleoprotein.
Source: Ensembl